Molecule: transfer RNA, 115 nt
Filed under: Mycosarcoma maydis (corn smut)
Lineage: Eukaryota; Fungi; Basidiomycota; Ustilaginomycetes; Ustilaginales
Description: tRNA-Ser for anticodon UGA
Rfam family: tRNA
About the family: Transfer RNA (tRNA) molecules are approximately 80 nucleotides in length. Their secondary structure includes four short double-helical elements and three loops (D, anti-codon, and T loops).
Source: RNAcentral
GGUGCGAUGCCCGAGUGGUUAAGGGGUUAGUCUUGAAUUACACAUUCAACGGUCGUGCGAUGAGCUGAUUAACUAAUUCGCAAUGCGAGCGCAGGUUCGAACCCUGCUCGCACCG